AGUCAACAUGCCCAGGGGACGUGGAUAACCUCGGGAAACUGAGGAUAAACCGCGAUAGGUCAUCACUUCUGGAAUGGGUAAUGACUUAAACCUAUAUGGCCCCUGGAUUGGACUGCGGCCGAUCAGGCUGUUGGUGAGGUAAUGGCCCACCAAACCUGUAACCGGUACGGGCUCUGAGAGGAGGAGCCCGGAGAUGGGCACUGAGACAAGGGCCCAGGCCCUAUGGGGCGCAGCAGGCGCGAAACCUCUGCAAUAGGCGAAAGCUUGACAGGGUUACUCUGAGUGAUUUCCGUUAAGGAGAUCUUUUGGCACCUCUAAAAAUGGUGCAGAAUAAGGGGUGGGCAAGUCUGGUGUCAGCCGCCGCGGUAAUACCAGCACCCCGAGUGGUCGGGACGUUUAUUGGGCCUAAAGCAUCCGUAGCCGGUUCUACAAGUCUUCCGUUAAAUCCACCUGCUUAACAGAUGGGCUGCGGAAGAUACUAUAGAGCUAGGAGGCGGGAGAGGCAAGCGGUACUCGAUGGGUAGGGGUAAAAUCCGUUGAUCCAUUGAAGACCACCAGUGGCGAAGGCGGCUUGCCAGAACGCGCUCGACGGUGAGGGAUGAAAGCUGGGGGAGCAAACCGGAUUAGAUACCCGGGUAGUCCCAGCUGUAAACGAUGCAGACUCGGUGAUGAAUUGGCUUAUUGCUAAUUCAGUGCCGCUGGGAAGCCGUUAAGUUUGCCGCCUGGGGAGUACGGUCGCAAGACUGAAACUUAA
RNAcentral lists this ribosomal RNA (754 nucleotides) under uncultured archaeon. Its description in RNAcentral is "bacterial SSU rRNA". It matches the Rfam family "Archaeal small subunit ribosomal RNA", at positions 102 to 859 of the family's 1478-position model. The record is from RNAcentral.